RNAcentral lists this long non-coding RNA (626 nucleotides) under Papio anubis (olive baboon). RNAcentral describes it as "lncRNA (ENSPANG00000036594.2)". Lineage: Eukaryota; Metazoa; Chordata; Mammalia; Primates; Cercopithecidae. The record is from RNAcentral.
GGCAGUUCUCCUGCACAUGCUCUCUUGCCUGCUGCCAUGUCGGAUAUGCCUUUUUCUCCUCCUUCAUCUUCUGCCAUGAUUGUGAGACCUCCCCAGCCAUGUGGAACUCCCAUAUUACCAAAUGCCUGACUUAAGAAAAAGAAAAUGUAAACAAAAGACAGAUUGAGAUUGAAAGCACGAGAAUUUUAUUCCAGUGACUCAACCCCCAUUGUGUGAAGUAGACCAGAAUGAAUAAAUUGAACUUACUCAGCACCUCAAUUAUUAAAUGCAUCCACAGAAAUUCGUUCUGUCAAAUUAACUGUGGAGGUUGUUGUUGCUAUUGCAGAGAUGGGGUUUUACCAUGCUGCUGCACACUGGUCUUGAACUGCUGGGCUCUGGUGAUCCACCUGCCUCAGCUUCCCAAAGUAAUGGGAAUACAGAAAAGACCAACCACAGUGAUUAAAGGGAUGAAAAAGAUGACCUGCUUGAAAACUCUAAAGAACCCAGUAUUACUUGAAAGAAGAGGAAGCUAAAUGGAACUCUGGUCCUGGCAGUUUCCUUUGGAAUGACAUAAGACAUAGCAAGUAUCAUAAUGUGCUGUUAAAUUUUGAAGAAAGUAUGGAAUUUGAAAAAUUGAAAAGAAAAAG